AGUUAUGGCACCGAACCCAAGGUUGAGAAAAAUGAAGAGAUUAUUACAAUAACAUCAUGGCAAAGGCCGCCCAUAACUAGAAGUUAUUUGGGUUGUGGGGAUAAUUUGAAUGACGGUUCGUCAGGACAGACCUACAUCAUCUCCACCUUGGAGCUCCUACCCGGUACAGCCAUCUCAAAUACCCGAAGCAUCCCGUUGGGUUCAUGCACAUUCUUCCGAAUAGUGUGGUCUUACAAAAGCAUUCAUCAUCUACUUCACAAGCCUGGUGGCUUCCAUGGAGGAAGAUGAAGUCCAGUCCGAGGAAUACGAAGAAUUUCCGCCAAACACG
This is a long non-coding RNA of Rosa rugosa (rugosa rose), 328 nucleotides long. RefSeq lists it as uncharacterized. The transcript has 4 exons. Lineage: Eukaryota; Viridiplantae; Streptophyta; Magnoliopsida; Rosales; Rosaceae. The record is from RefSeq and is a predicted model, not a curated record.